UACGUAGGGUGCAAGCGUUGUCCGGAAUUAUUGGGCGUAAAGAGCUCGUAGGCGGUCUGUUGCGUCGGCUGUGAAAACCCGGGGCUCAACUCCGGGCCUGCAGCCGAUACGGGCAGACUAGAGUUCGGCAGGGGAGACUGGAAUUCCUGGUGUAGCGGUGAAAUGCGCAGAUAUCAGGAGGAACACCGGUGGCGAAGGCGGGUCUCUGGGACGGUACUGACGCUGAGACGCGAAAGCGUGGGGAGCGAACAGG
RNAcentral lists this ribosomal RNA (253 nucleotides) under uncultured bacterium. RNAcentral describes it as "partial 16S ribosomal RNA". It matches the Rfam family "Bacterial small subunit ribosomal RNA", at positions 524 to 776 of the family's 1533-position model. The record is from RNAcentral.